GUGGGGAAUAUUGGGCAAUGGGCGCAAGCCUGACCCAGCAACGCCGCGUGAAGGAAGAAGGCUUUCGGGUUGUAAACUUCUUUUAAGGGGGAAGAGCAGAAGACGGUACCCCUAGAAUAAGCCACGGCUAACUACGUGCCAGCAGCCGCGGUAAUACGUAGGUGGCAAGCGUUGUCCGGAUUUACUGGGUGUAAAGGGCGUGCAGCCGGGCUUGCAAGUCAGAUGUGAAAUCUAUGGGCUCAACCCAUAAACUGCAUUUGAAACUGUAAGUCUUGAGUACCGGAGGGGCAAUCGGAAUUCCUAGUGUAGCGGUGAAAUGCGUAGAUAUUAGGAGGAACACCAGUGGCGAAGGCGGAUUGCUGGACGGCAACUGACGGUGAGGCGCGAAAGUGUGGGGAGCAAACAGGAUUAGAAACCCUAGUAGUCC
This 427-nucleotide ribosomal RNA is filed under the name uncultured bacterium. RNAcentral's name for it is "bacterial SSU rRNA". It matches the Rfam family "Bacterial small subunit ribosomal RNA", at positions 354 to 796 of the family's 1533-position model. The record is from RNAcentral.